Molecule: long non-coding RNA, 2657 nt
Organism: Lolium perenne
Lineage: Eukaryota; Viridiplantae; Streptophyta; Magnoliopsida; Poales; Poaceae
Source: RefSeq, a predicted model, not a curated record
CUCAAAAAAAAAAAUGAACCAGUGAGUGGAUUAUGUCCUAAGUCAGCGAAGGGAAAGUUGGAUCGACUUUCUCUUACCUUUCUCUCUCUUCUUGGCUGGAUAAGUUCUUGCAGCAAGGCCAUGGCUGAUUUACGGUAGGCGUAAGAAUGUGUACCACCAUGGUCCUCGUAAUUUGGCCGUUCCCUUCUGGAUUCGGCGGCGCAUGAGCCGGCGGGGACAAAUCGGAGAAGCAAUCGGCUGUAGUCUUUGCUUGGCCUGUCUAGGGACUUGACGCAGCGGAGCACAUAAGGCAAAUGGAGCAAGGCCAAGGUGGUUCUUCUUUCUUCAGAAGACUGUGCGUAGGUGGAGGCAGCAGGUGUGGAAUAAGCGGUAGGGAGCGAUUGCUUGUCUUUCCUGCCGUUAUUCGCCAAGGGAUGAAUGGCUCGGAGGUGUUGCCUGUGAGGAGCUGCCUUCUGGGUGGUGGUCAAUUGGCAUAAUCGUCUUAUCAGCUAUUGCAGAGCUGAUUUGGGUAGAAGGUUCCACCACUUGCACUGAGUCAGUCAGUAGCUGCGCCUUUGAGACGGUAAGGAACACUACUCCAGGAUUAGCAUCAUAGGUUUCCUGGUCGACUUCCCAAGUGAUUGUGCACUUCUUGCCUACCGCGGCAAUAAUGGCAGGAGGGACAUAAUUAGGAUGACCUUAAGUGAGUGGCGCAAGAAGAUCUACUUCCUUGCCCGCUAGAGCCUCGGCGCAGUUGCCAAAGAAUGUGAAGCGGCCGGUGACGGUGCUCGCCUGAUGUAUGGCAGGUAGGGCAUCUGCGAGAAGUUCCGUACUGAACCACCUGUAGUGCUCGCCUGAUGUAUGGCAGGAAACAGAAAGAAGAUAGAUAACAAAUGUUGGUGUGGAAGAUGUACCAAAUGAUCAACAAACAUGAAACCAAUCUCAUAGAGGUGGUUGUCUCUAUUCCGGUUCUCCCCUGACCGGGCAAUGCGUACAACAACACGCCUCGGAGAUCCUCGAGAGGUAGGGCAAACUGAAGGGAAGAUAAAAGAGGAAGAGGAAAUUACCAGCAACAGCGACGUCUGGAACCUCAACAGGACGCUUGCCUAAACUUAUCUCCCGCCUCCAAGAUUGUAUGUCAUCUAACAUUGAAGGAGAGGCAAGAGAUCGGCGGAAAGAAAUAUCCGUAGAAGACCCAGUAUGGUGUGGAUCCAUAGGAAAACCAAAAGGUGGACAGCAGGUAUAUCAGGCCCGGGAAGACGGACAGCAGAACCGGUAAGAGUAACAGCAACAUCGGAAGGAGUAUCCUCGGAACGGCGUCGGUGCCGUGCACAUGGAGAAGCAGAAAGGGAGAACGACCGGCCGCGGCGACGACCUGAUCCCCGGCCUACACCUCCUCCAGGCAGUUGUAUGGCCGACAAAGAAGCAACAUAAGGUAAAGCAGGAGAUCUAGAACCAGAACAUGGCCGAUCGGACGCAGCAGCACCAACUGAACCAACAGCUGAGGCAGGAAGAGCAGCAGAGGAGUCCCGCCGAUGGCCGCGAGAAUCUCGGCCGCCCCGGCUUGCCGGCCGAGGAAGCAGCUGAUCCAGGCCGCGGCGGAAACGCGGCGCCGAAGGCACAGGCAAAGGAAGUGGAGGCAAAGCCGGCGACGCGUAUGAUGGAUGCACCGGCGAAGACGGCGGGGUAUGGCUGACAGCAGGCGAGCUGCUAAGAUGAUGAAGACGCGGCUAAGAGUUUAGCCGGCGUAAAGGCGGCGGUGCAGGAACCGGGCGACCUCCCCCACGACCUGCAGCAGCAUCCAUGACCAAGCAGAUUCCUGAAACAAAAUAAAUCGAGUAAGACAUGACAAAGCGGGAGGCCAAACGGAGAAGAACCAGAAGGAAACGCUGAGAUCAAAACCUGGAAAGGAAAUCCAGCGACGGAAGAAAAGGGGGAGGAAAGAAAGAGCAGCGGUCUCUCCGCUGCAGAUAGGUAGUCGUAUGAACCGAGGAGAAGACGCAUGAGGAAAUUAGGUCCAGGAAGAAGGAAAGAAAAAAGAAAAGACACGCAAGAAGGCACGUGGCGGAGAAGUGAAAACGGAAACUCCCGUAAUCCAUGCACAGCCGGUGGAGGCCGAUUAAACCGGAGAUGGAAGGUAACCGACGCCAAAUAAACAGGGAGCAACCGGCCCACAUGUGCAAAGUCUACCGGCUAUUUUCCGUGGAUCAGCAAUUUUAGGAAGGGAAAAAAAGAGAAAGAAAGAAAGAAAUUCCCGCACGUCUCCCUUACAUCCAGAUUGAAGUGGGAAAAAGUAAUCGUGGCAAAACCCGAUUGGAUAAAACGGGACACCAACAGUACCCAAACUAAUCUCAUUGCUGCAAAACGGUUCAAACAGCUACCAUGAACAGUACCCAAACUUAUGAGAAUUCAGCAAAGUGGUUCAGCUUUGAUAUAGUUUACUAGGAAGAUGCGGCGCGGCGUCACGCCGUGCCCGUGAGGGGACAACACAUAUGUAUAAUCGGUUAAUAGUACUGUUGGAGAUUACAUGAUGCGUACAAUAGUAUUAUUGUCUAAAUUUACAGCAGAAGAGAGCAGGACAUUAAUAGUAUUUUUUUCGAAAUAAAAAAGGUGGUGGAUAGUAGAGUUAUUGUGAAAGAACAAAAAAUAGAAAAAUAAAUUGUAUUACUGAUUAGUCA